AUCAUAUUGGCAGAAAUAUGCAUUAGAAUUAGAAUCUAAUCAAACUUUAAAUCUCUUU
This 58-nucleotide transfer RNA is filed under the name Corythalia opima. Its description in RNAcentral is "tRNA-Leu". The record is from RNAcentral. Lineage: Eukaryota; Metazoa; Arthropoda; Arachnida; Araneae; Salticidae.